Molecule: ribosomal RNA, 403 nt
Filed under: uncultured bacterium
Lineage: Bacteria
Description: partial 16S ribosomal RNA
Rfam family: Bacterial small subunit ribosomal RNA
Source: RNAcentral
GACGAACGCUGGCGGCGUGCCUAAUACAUGCAAGUCGAACGCAGUGGGGACGGUUGAGUAACACGUGGGUAACCUCCCAUCAGAGGGGAUAACACUUGGAAACAGGUGCUAAACCGAUACUGAUUUCUGUACCCGCUGUGCAUUAGCUAGUUGGUGAGGUAACGGCUCACCAAGGCCACGAUGCAUAGCCGGCCGGAGAGGGUGAUCGGCCACACGGGGACUGAGACACGGCCCAGACUCCUACGGGAGGCAGCAGUAGGGAAUCUUCGGCAAUGGACGAAAGUCUGACCGAGCAACGCCGCGGGAGUGAAGAAGGUUUUCGGAUCGUAAAACUCUGUUGUUAGAGAAGCGGUAUCUAACCAGAAAGCCACGGCUAACUACGUGCCAGCAGCCGCGGUAAUUC